GCGAUAGCGAAGAGGUCACACCCGUUCCCAUACCGAACACGGAAGUUAAGCUCUUUAGCGCCAAUGGUAGUUGGGACUUUGUCCCUGUGAGAGUAGGACGUUGCCA
Molecule: ribosomal RNA, 106 nt
Filed under: Priestia megaterium
Lineage: Bacteria; Bacillati; Bacillota; Bacilli; Caryophanales; Bacillaceae
Source: RNAcentral